RNAcentral lists this long non-coding RNA (488 nucleotides) under Homo sapiens (human). RNAcentral's name for it is "non-protein coding lnc-SLC9C1-2:8". The record is from RNAcentral. Lineage: Eukaryota; Metazoa; Chordata; Mammalia; Primates; Hominidae.
GGAGGUUAAAAGCAAGAUACAGUCAGGAUGAGUACCUUCUCACUGCCAAAGUAGUUGGAGGGACAUCAAACACCAGUGAUGGGAACACUGAACCUCACAUAAGGGGCAAUGCAGCAUCUCUGCCUUCUUCUGGGUAUUCCUCUUAAAUGGCUUGACAAUAACCACCAACCAGCACUGCCAUACAUGUGUCCUGUACCUAUCAGAGGCACUAGGGCAGUUUUGGAACAGAGAGCCCAUAGAAAGGCUACUGCUUAGAGAUAGCCAUUUUCUUCUUGGAGCUGGACCAGUGAAUUAGACGCAUGGAGGAGAGCUGGAAAAUCCCUUUUUGGAAGAGCUACACAAAACCAAAAUUUGGAAUUCGUAGCUAAUAACCAUAAAAAUUAAGAAAUGACUGUUGGAAGAGCACUGGAAAUCACCUGAUUAAGUUAAGAAAAACUAACUAGCUCAUGAGAAAAUUAUUUUCAGGCCAGCUGUAGCCUGUACCCUUU